AGCUCCAAUAGCGUAUAUUAUUGAUGUUGCAGUUGAAACGUUCGUAGUCGAACUUUAUCUGCUUAGGUAUUGCGUCAUCGAUGAUGUUGCAAUAUUUUCAGCAGAGAUUGUGCAAGAGGUGUUGCACGUUUCGUGUAAUGGCUUUUGCAUCUUACUUUGAGUGAAUCGGCGUGUUCCACGCAGGCAUGUGCCUUGAACGAUUUACCAUAGCAUAAUCAGAGUAUGAAGGCACUCCCUUGUUUGUUCGGGGGUGUUUUCUAUACUGAUAAGAACGGUUGAGGGCAUUCGUAUUCAGCUGCCAGAGGUGAAAUUCUUUGAUUAGUUGAGGACGAACUAUUGCGAAAGCAUCUGCCAAGGACGUUUCUU
This 366-nucleotide ribosomal RNA is filed under the name uncultured eukaryote. Its description in RNAcentral is "SSU rRNA". It matches the Rfam family "Eukaryotic small subunit ribosomal RNA", at positions 587 to 972 of the family's 1831-position model. The record is from RNAcentral.